UACGGAGGGUGCGAGCGUUGUCCGGAAUCACUGGGCGUAAAGGGCGCGUAGGCGGCGCGGAUAGUCGGCGGUGAAAGCCCGGGGCUCAACUCCGGAACUGCCUUUAAGACUGCAUCGCUAGAAUUGUGGAGAGGUAAGUGGAAUUCCGAGUGUAGAGGUGAAAUUCGUAGAUAUUCGGAAGAACACCAGUGGCGAAGGCGACUUACUGGACACAUAUUGACGCUGAGGUGCGAAAGCGUGGGGAGCAAACAGG
This 253-nucleotide ribosomal RNA is filed under the name uncultured bacterium. RNAcentral describes it as "partial 16S ribosomal RNA". It matches the Rfam family "Bacterial small subunit ribosomal RNA", at positions 524 to 776 of the family's 1533-position model. The record is from RNAcentral.